Molecule: ribosomal RNA, 468 nt
Filed under: Staphylococcus aureus
Lineage: Bacteria; Bacillati; Bacillota; Bacilli; Caryophanales; Staphylococcaceae
Description: partial 23S ribosomal RNA
Rfam family: Bacterial large subunit ribosomal RNA
Source: RNAcentral
CUUGGUCAGGUUGAAGUUCAGGUAACACUGAAUGGAGGACCGAACCGACUUACGUUGAAAAGUGAGCGGAUGAACUGAGGGUAGCGGAGAAAUUCCAAUCGAACCUGGAGAUAGCUGGUUCUCUCCGAAAUAGCUUUAGGGCUAGCCUCAAGUGAUGAUUAUUGGAGGUAGAGCACUGUUUGGACGAGGGGCCCCUCUCGGGUUACCGAAUUCAGACAAACUCCGAAUGCCAAUUAAUUUAACUUGGGAGUCAGAACAUGGGUGAUAAGGUCCGUGUUCGAAAGGGAAACAGCCCAGACCACCAGCUAAGGUCCCAAAAUAUAUGUUAAGUGGAAAAGGAUGUGGCGUUGCCCAGACAACUAGGAUGUUGGCUUAGAAGCAGCCAUCAUUUAAAGAGUGCGUAAUAGCUCACUAGUCGAGUGACACUGCGCCGAAAAUGUACCGGGGCUAAACAUAUUACCGAAGCUG